UGCAAGUCUCAGUACGAGCUGUAUUAAAGUGAAACCGCAAAAGGCUCAGUAAACCGGUCAUAGUUUACCGGAUAUAUGCCACUUAGGUGGAUAACUGUGGUAAUUCUAGAGCUAAUACAUGCAACCAAGUCCCGACCAGCGAUGGAAAGGACGCUUUUAUUGGAUCAAAACCAUUCGCCCCGGUCCGCCGGGGCGUCUGCUUGAUGACUCUAGAUAACACCACAGAUCGCACGGUCACAGUACCGGCGACGUAUCCGUCAAAUGUCUGACUUAUCAGCUGUCGAUGGUAGACUCUGUGUCUACCAUGGCGCUCACGGGUAACGGGGAAUCAGGGUUCGAUUCCGGAGAGGGAGCCUGAGAAACGGCUACCACAUCCAAGGAAGGCAGCAGGCACGCAAAUUACCCACUCCCGGCACGGGGAGGUAGUGACAAAAAAUAACGAUACGGGACUCAUCCGAGGCCCCGUAAUCGGAAUGAGAACACCCUAAAUCCUUUAACGAGGAUCUAUUGGAGGGCAAGUCUGGUGCCAGCAGCCGCGGUAAUUCCAGCUCCAAUAGCGUAUAUUAAAGUUGUUGCGGUUAAAAAGCUCGUAGUUGGUUCUGCGUGCCACGCUGUCGGUUCACCGCCUGUCGGUGCAACUGGCAUGCCCGUGGCAUGUCCUGUCGGUGGCCGACAGGCUUCCCGGCGCGCCCUACUCGUUCACACGUGUAGGUCGUCGCGCCGAGUUGUCCUCGUAGGCCGGCUCAAUCCUACCGCGGUGCUCUUUACCGAGUGUCGAGGUAGGCCGACACUGUUUACUUUGAACAAAUUAGAGUGCUUAAAGCAGGCUCUGAAAGCAGCCUGAAUAGUGGUGCAUGGAAUAAUGGAACAGGACCUUGGUUCUAUUUUGUUGGUUUUCUGAAUCCAAGGUAAUGAUCAAUAAGGACAGGCGGGGGCAUUCGUAUUGCGACGUUAGAGGUGAAAUUCUUGGAUCGUCGCAAGACGCACUAGAGCGAAAGCAUUUGCCAAGUAUGUCUUAAUUGAUCAAGAACGAAAGUUAGAGGUUCGAAGGCGAUCAGAUACCGCCCUAGUUCUAACCAUAAACGAUGCCAGCCAGCGAUCCGCCGAUGUUCCUCCGAUGACUCGGCGGGGAGCUUUCCCCGGGAAACCAAAGCUUUUGGGUUCCGGGGGAAGUAUGGUUGCAAAGCUGAAACUUAAAGGAAUUGACGGAAGGGCACCACCAGGAGUGGAGCCUGCGGCUUAAUUUGACUCAACACGGGAAACCUCACCAGGCCCGGACAUUGGAAGGAUUGACAGAUCGAUAGCUCUUUCUCGAUUCAGUGGGUAGUGGUGCAUGGCCGUUCUUAGUUGGUGGACUGAUUUGUCUGGUUAAUUCCGAUAACGAACGAGACUCUGACCUAUUAACUAGGCGCUCCCGGUAUAAAUGCCUACCGGCGAGAUU
This 1441-nucleotide ribosomal RNA is filed under the name Megacopta aff. cribraria IV1-1. RNAcentral's name for it is "SSU rRNA". It matches the Rfam family "Eukaryotic small subunit ribosomal RNA", at positions 52 to 1391 of the family's 1831-position model. Lineage: Eukaryota; Metazoa; Arthropoda; Insecta; Hemiptera; Plataspidae. The record is from RNAcentral. RNAcentral also lists the same sequence under 1 other name.